UAUCAAUAUGGCAGAAUAGUGCACUAAGUUUAAGCCUUAAAUAUAAAAGACAUCUUUUUAUUGAU
This 65-nucleotide transfer RNA is filed under the name Laevipilina antarctica. RNAcentral's name for it is "tRNA-Leu". The record is from RNAcentral. Lineage: Eukaryota; Metazoa; Mollusca; Monoplacophora; Tryblidiida; Neopilinidae.